RNAcentral lists this ribosomal RNA (468 nucleotides) under uncultured bacterium. RNAcentral describes it as "partial 16S ribosomal RNA". It matches the Rfam family "Bacterial small subunit ribosomal RNA", at positions 28 to 507 of the family's 1533-position model. The record is from RNAcentral.
GACGAACGCUGGCGGCGUGCCUAACACAUGCAAGUCGAACGGAAAGGCCCUGCUUUCGUGGGGUGCUCGAGUGGCGAACGGGUGAGUAACACGUGAGUAACCUGCCCUUGACUUUGGGAUAACUUCAGGAAACUGGGGAUACUACCGGAUAGGAGCUCCUGAUGCUUGGUGGGGGUUGGAACGUUUCGGCGGUAGGGGAUGGACUCGCGGCUUACCAGCUUGUUGGUGGGGUAGUGGCUUACCCAGGCUUUGACGGGUAGUCGGCCUGGGAGGGGGGCCGGCCACAUGAGGACUAAGGGACGGCCCAGACGCCAACGGGAGGCAACAGGGGGAAAUAUUGCACAAUGGUCGGGAGCCUGAUGCGGCGGCGCCGCGUGCGGAAUGACGGCCUUCGGGUUGUGAACCGCAUUCGCCUGAGACGAAGCGUGAGUGACGGUAAUGAGAAAAGAAGCACCGGCUAACUACGUG